UGUGUAGGCGGUUGCUUAAGUUUGGUGUGAAAUCUCCCGGCUCAACUGGGAGGGUGCGCCGAAUACUGAGUGACUCGAGUGCGGGAGAGGAGAGUGGAAUUCCUGGUGUAGCGGUGAAAUGCGUAGAUAUUAGGAGGAACACCGGUGGUGUAGACGGCUCUCUGGACCGUAACUGACGCUGAGACACGAAAGCGUGGGUAGCAAACA
This 207-nucleotide ribosomal RNA is filed under the name uncultured bacterium. Its description in RNAcentral is "partial 16S ribosomal RNA". It matches the Rfam family "Bacterial small subunit ribosomal RNA", at positions 568 to 774 of the family's 1533-position model. The record is from RNAcentral.